Molecule: long non-coding RNA, 615 nt
Organism: Chinchilla lanigera (long-tailed chinchilla)
Lineage: Eukaryota; Metazoa; Chordata; Mammalia; Rodentia; Chinchillidae
Exons: 2
Source: RefSeq, a predicted model, not a curated record
GGCUUCUGGGUCCCUGCUCCCGCUAGCCGCGACUGACACCUACGACUCGGGCAGGCGCCCGCGGGCUGGGCCGCUUCUCCGGGACUCCAGCCCGCUGUCCCUCGCCUCGAGUGCAGGCGCCCAGGAAAAGGGCCACGGUCCUGCGCGGGUGUGGGCUGCUCCGCCCUCGCGCCGUCGGUCUGUCCAUUUGUUGCAGGGUUUACUCUCGAGCGGCGCCGCGGAGGACUGGGACUGGUUAACUGUCUCCGUGAAGUGCGCCCCGUGCUCGAGGAGGAAGGGAAAUCGCUGAAGCGCUCCUGGAGCAAAGCCUAGACAAGCUUGCAAGUCCUACUUGUGAUGUUUUUUAAUUUUUCAUUUUAGAAAUUGAUUUUCUGGACUGGGAUGUAUUUCAGUAGUAGAUCACUACCUUGACAUGUGUGAAGCCUGGUUCUGAUCCUCAGCACUGCAAAUAACAAACAGGAAAAGAAAUAGAUUUUCUAUCCAAACUCUUCUCGCCUGCUGUAAUAAGCUUACAUCUUUUUGACAUUCCAGUAUUUCCCAAUAGGCCAUGAAAAAGUAAACAGAUCAAAUGAAGAUGAAAUACCCCACGGAGGUCUCAGUUUGAGGCCUACUACA